CUUUUUAUUCUUUCACCCACGCAUUACAGUCACUAUAUUGCACUACACAUUACCAUGGACUUCAAGAGUGAACUACUAGAGAGCUGCAAACCGGAAGGCCUUUUUGACUACAUUGUGUGGAAGUUCCUAAUUAUGUUAAUCUCUAUUUGUAGGAACUUGUAGAGAUUCAUGGAGAAAACAGACCAAAGUACAUCGUCGAUUGCAGACUUGAGGUCGUCAAGCAGCGGUACGAACUGAGAAACAACGGUUUCAAGUCUUAAUUUGAGCUACAACGCUCAAGUGUUUUGAUGCAAACGGUCCACACCCAUACACUGCCAUAUUGGUUCCUCGUUUAAAUCUCUCACACCCACGGAACCAAUACUCUUCUCUUUCAUCGUUUCCAAGAAGCUCCCC
RNAcentral lists this long non-coding RNA (393 nucleotides) under Physcomitrium patens. RNAcentral describes it as "long non-coding RNA (PPAT_LNC009393)". Lineage: Eukaryota; Viridiplantae; Streptophyta; Bryopsida; Funariales; Funariaceae. The record is from RNAcentral.